Monomorium pharaonis (pharaoh ant) is the source of this 2505-nucleotide long non-coding RNA. RefSeq lists it as uncharacterized. NCBI's taxonomy places the organism in Eukaryota, Metazoa, Arthropoda, Insecta, Hymenoptera, Formicidae. The transcript is spliced from 2 exons. The record is from RefSeq and is a predicted model, not a curated record.
AGUGGUGAUUGUCCAUCAAUGUCGCGUCCGCAAGUACCUGAAAUAUAUAUUAAAUACAUACAAGUAUUUCAUAUUGGUAUUUCAGAAACAUUUCGUGCAACACUAAGAUAUUGAACAAACACAGGAAAUGAAUGUUUGUUAAGAACAUCUUAGAUCAUUACAAAAUCUGCUGUCGAUGGAAUAAAAUCCAUCGUCCAUUCAAUUAAAUUUUCUACGGGAUGUAAGGGCAAAUACACUUUAAAAAUAUCGAGGUUUAUCGAGGAGACUAUAUUUUCUAUCGUAAUCAUAGACACAAAGGCUUAUUUAUUAAAGCUUGUUAUAGAUAACUCCUGCAUAGGACAAAGAUUUCUAUUAUUGGAUUACACCAUGGUAUACGAGAAACUAUAUUUCAGGUAAUAAUCAUGAUUUAUUAAUUUAAGUGACAUUUUAAUUAAUAUCACAAUUUCUUUUAUCAAAGAAAAUAACAAUAAUCAUAAUUAUGUAAAUUAUGUAAUUUCUUUUAAAGUUUUCUGACAAAUAAAAAUACAUAUUUUUACAAAUCUCUCUCUCUCUCUCUCUCUCUCUCUCUCUUUCUCUUUCUGCCACACAUACAAAAUGAAAAAUCUCAAUUGUGUACAAAAGUUCAGUUUGCAACUUGUUUUGUAAGAAAACUUAAAAGCUUAGUCAUGACUCGAUAAGCGAAGGAAAUAGUAAGUUGAGCUACUUAGUUUCACGUCACAUUCAGAACUCUUUUGAAAGCGGCAACUCCCACGAGUAAAGAAAAACAGAUCAAUAUACCAAUUCUUAAGCGGUUAUUCUACAAAUACUCGAACACGAAAUGCAUAGGAUUUCAUUUCCUGUUUUAAUUACUACGGAGGAGUAUCGUGCAAACACGAAUGCGAUUUAUUUCAUUAAAUAAUCUACAUGUUCACAUAAGUAGAUGCAUAUUGUGACAACCGGAUAUAUGGUAAAUCGGAUAUACCGGAUAUAUAAAUGCGCUUUUCAAAUUACGUUCUUAAAAUUAAAUAAAUAUGUUCAUAACAAUUUUAAUAUUUUAUAUUUAUUUUCCAUUUAAAACUGAGAAUAAAAUAAUCGUGAAAAAGGAAUGUAAAUAUCACAAUAUGCUCUGAUGUGUACAAAAAAUAUUAGUUUUUUAUAUCUGAUUGUUUUUAAGAAAAUGUAUACCCAAGUAUUUUUAGAAGUUUUCGAUGUCACUGAAUAUAAAAAAGGAAUCAAAUGUAAAAAUUUAAAACGGUGAAUGUAAAAAAUAAAACAUUUUUUAAUUCUAAUGAAAUUUUUCUAAAAUAUGAAAUUUUCGCUGAAUAUAAAAAUAAUGUUAAAUCAUAAAAAAUUCAAACAUAAAGUAAAUGUAAGUAAUAAAUAAAAUGUAAAUUCUAAUUAAAGUUUAAGGAGUUUGCAGGAUUACCAAAUGUAGAUUUAAUUUAUAAAAUAAAGUAAAAACAUGUGAUAAAAUCUGCGUUGAUAAGAAUUAUGCGGUAAGAUUCAAAAGUUUUUGGUCCAAUUUAUAUGCACGUUCGCAAAUACUAAGUAAAAGCAUUAUGUUCUAUUUUAUCUCUUUAUCAUUAAGAUACAACAAAUUCGCCUCCAAAUUAAUUUAUACGCCUCCUGAAAUUGAUUUGAAAAGUAAUUGUCACGCGAAGAUAAUCGCAUAAAAAUCUUCUAUCAUUAGUCUGAGAACUUUUUUGCAAAUAUUCCUGCAAAUAAUUUUUCGUAUUUCGCAAUAGUAUUUAUAAUAUAUUUUUUGACAAAAAGAGUAAGGGGCAAAAUUAAGAAGAUUGAUGCUAAAAAAUUGUUAUGAAACUUGAUACACAAGAGAUAAAAUACCUAACUCAAAAAAUGGUUAAAUGAGGAUCUUUUAAAAGGAAAACAAGUUCAUUCAGUGGACCUGACGCCAUGGGGAUGUGGCCUUUCAUCACGUAUACCAUCUCACUUCGACAAUAGAAUUGUUCGUGAAUAAUCUCACAAACAUUUUGUGAAACCUGAACCGGACUUAAAUCUCUUUUUACAUUGUAGUUUUUGUGCUUUUGCCACAUAGCCGUGACCGUAUAAGGGAUAGAGAACUAAUGACAAGAACUAAUCAUAUUAUAUUAUACUGAGCAUUCGCUGAUUCUUCAAUACAAUUGAUUUCUACCCUCAAUUCGUUAUCCCCUUCACGGUCGCGGCUAUGUGCAAAAAUUCGAAAAUUACAACUCUGACCUGAACUAUCUAAUAAUGAAUCGACGAUGAUUUUUUUAAGACUGACAUUUUCAAAAAGUUAUUUAAUCAAGGGAUGUACGACGUGGUCAAUAAUAAACCGGAUAUCUUUAACGAUGAUCAGAUGAUGCAAAUCGAAAAAGUUUCAGAUGAUACGAUGCAAUUAUAUAGCGAUACGGUGGACUGAUAUCGAUGCGGAUUAAAAGUAUUGGAAAUAAGAGAUUUCGAUCACAGUACAAAAUCAUCUAACGUUUGCUCAUAGGGGAUGUAAGUCAAACAGAAUAAGCAAAUUUUUUUUAAAGAAAAAAAAAA